This 492-nucleotide ribosomal RNA is filed under the name uncultured bacterium. Its description in RNAcentral is "partial 16S ribosomal RNA". It matches the Rfam family "Bacterial small subunit ribosomal RNA", at positions 29 to 507 of the family's 1533-position model. The record is from RNAcentral.
AGUGAACGCUGGCGGUAGGCCUGACACAUGCAAGUCGAACGGCAGCACAGUAAGAGCUUGCUCUUACGGGUGGCGAGUGGCGGACGGGUGAGGAAUACAUCGGAAUCUACUUUUUCGUGGGGGAUAACGUAGGGAAACUUACGCUAAUACCGCAUACGACCUACGGGUGAAAGCAGGGGAUCUUCGGACCUUGCGCGAUUGAAUGAGUCGAUGUCGGAUUAGCUAGUUGGCGGGGUAAAGGCCCACCAAGGCGACGAUCCGUAGCUGGUCUGAGAGGAUGAUCAGCCACACUGGAACUGAGACACGGUCCAGACUCCUACGGGAGGCAGCAGUGGGGAAUAUUGGACAAUGGGCGCAAGCCUAAUCCAGCCAUACCGCGUGGGUGAAGAAGGCCUUCGGGUUGUAAAGCCCUUUUGUUGGGAAAGAAAAGCAGCAGGUUAAUACCCCGCUGUUCUGACGGUACCCAAAGAAUAAGCACCGGCUAACUUCGUG